This 722-nucleotide long non-coding RNA is filed under the name Cricetulus griseus (Chinese hamster). Its description in RNAcentral is "lncRNA (ENSCGRG00000024494.1)". The record is from RNAcentral. Lineage: Eukaryota; Metazoa; Chordata; Mammalia; Rodentia; Cricetidae.
ACAUGGCAUUAAAUUUAAACAUUAAAAAAUGUAAAACCAAACACAUUAGCUAUUUUGUUUCUGUCUGUGUGUUUUAAGCAGCGUUCUUGUUUUAUCUUUCAGCGCAAGAACUUGCCAGUCAAGAUGAAAAACUUCUUCUAAUGGAAUCCAGCUUGAAAACUGCUCAAGAGCGGCUGAGCGAACAGCAAGAGUUCGCCAAGAACACAACAGUAGAAAAGCCCAGGCUGAGCCGAAGACAGUGACAGAGGGAAUUAUGGCUUCUGAAGAAGAAUCAAAUGACAGCAAAUACGGCCAAGGUGGGAGCCGUGGACAGAUGUGCUGUGUCUCUGCUGCACCUACCUGCCAGGGGCCUUCUCAUCUUACAGAUUUGAGAGUCCAAAGGUUACACAUGGCUCUGGUUGCCUUUCUUUUUUUGUUAAAGUAGCGGCUCUAAGCAAAUGGCGACUAAAUCGAAGGACAUUAAGAGCAGAAUUUGGGCACACACCAUUGAAGCAUGGAAAGGGCUAUGAAGAAAACGUCUGGGCCAGCUUUGAAACUGUCAUGAAAUCCAUUCUUAGUGAAAGCCUCUGAGUAUGAUUUUUAUCAUUUACAUUUCAAAUAAGUAUUACAGAACCUGUUUAGAAAUUCCUUAUUUUGUUUUUUUUCCUCUGCCUUCUCCUUGAUUUUACUUAGUUUGUUAUUAAAAAAAAUAAUAAUGAAAAUGUCAUAACCUACGUAAGUUC